Molecule: long non-coding RNA, 248 nt
Filed under: Capsicum annuum
Lineage: Eukaryota; Viridiplantae; Streptophyta; Magnoliopsida; Solanales; Solanaceae
Description: long non-coding RNA (CANN_LNC009932)
Source: RNAcentral
GAUCCAACAUUCGUUGAAAUAUAGCUUCAAUGCCACUCUUAUCGAUGCUUCAUUCUUUCUUUUCUUAAUCAUAAGACCUAUGAAACUCAUCAGAAGAACUAGAAUUUGGGUAAGCACAAUAGGGGGAAGGACCAUCUGGGCAAUCACUAUAAUGUCCUUCUUGACCACACCAUAAAGAACAAUUAUACUCCUAGUAGGAUGGAGAUGGUGCACACAUCUCUCUUUGGGGAGCAUAUCUACAAUCUUGC